UAGUCACAGGUGGGCAAUCUGGACCGAUUACUUUAUGAAGGUGUAAGAGUACAUUUAAAAUAUAAAAUCAGCUUAGAAAUACUGAUUAAGAAAAUGUAAACCAGAGAAGAGCUGCAUCAUGUAUUCCAUAAUAUUGAAUGUUGUAUUCGGCAGGACG
Molecule: long non-coding RNA, 157 nt
Organism: Gopherus evgoodei (Goodes thornscrub tortoise)
Lineage: Eukaryota; Metazoa; Chordata; Testudines; Testudinidae
Exons: 3
Source: RefSeq, a predicted model, not a curated record